RNAcentral lists this ribosomal RNA (492 nucleotides) under uncultured bacterium. Its description in RNAcentral is "partial 16S ribosomal RNA". It matches the Rfam family "Bacterial small subunit ribosomal RNA", at positions 29 to 507 of the family's 1533-position model. The record is from RNAcentral.
AGUGAACGCUGGCGGUAGGCCUAACACAUGCAAGUCGAACGGCAGCACAGUAAGAGCUUGCUCUUACGGGUGGCGAGUGGCGGACGGGUGAGGAAUACAUCGGCAUCUACUUUUUCGUGGGGGAUAACGUAGGGAAACUUACGCUAAUACCGCAUACGACCUACGGGUGAAAGCAGGGGAUGUUCGGACCUUGCGCGAUUGAAUGAGCCGAUGUCGGAUUAGCUAGUUGGCGGGGUAAAGGCCCACCAAGGCGACGAUCCGUAGCUGGUCUGAGAGGAUGGUCAGCCACACUGGAACUGAGACACGGUCCAGACUCCUACGGGAGGCAGCAGUGGGGAAUAUUGGACAAUGGGCGCAAGCCUGAUCCAGCCAUACCGCGUGGGUGAAGAAGGCCUUCGGGUUGUAAAGCCCUUUUGUUGGGAAAGAAAAGCAGCAGGUUAAUACCCCGCUGUUCUGACGGUACCCAAAGAAUAAGCACCGGCUAACUUCGCG